CACCCAAGGAUUCAGACACAGAACCCACAACCCAGGGCCCCUCGGAACGGUGGACUAAAUUUACCAAAGAAGAGCAGAGGCCAACAGCCAAAUGAAGCAGGCAGCAUGACACCCAGGCACUGGCCCAUGCCUACCGCAGAGGCCCAGGCAGUCAGUACACACCAAAGGCCAGCAACAAGGGGACUAACUGACCUCAACCUGGUUGUCCAUGCUAACACCUCCGUCAAUCUCAGCAUGCUAGCACCUCCGUCAAUCUCAGCACAGCUCAGGCUGUUUGGCUCAAGACCACUCAGAUAGAAAGUGGCAUAACUUUAAGCCAGUGCUGUCAACCGUGCCACCUCCCAAAAUGCAAAGGGGCAGGUAGAGAGCUAACGGGAGACCACAUGAAUGCCUCUCCUGGUCUCUUUCCUUCCUGUUUACAGCCUGUUUCACUUCCCCCACCACGCUGAGUGGGGGGUAUGUGUGUAUGUCAGAAAAGGGGGAUCAGUUACCUCAUUAGAAAUCUCCACCCAUUUGAGCUUGCACAUG
This 528-nucleotide long non-coding RNA is filed under the name Homo sapiens (human). RNAcentral's name for it is "ATXN7L3 antisense RNA 1". Lineage: Eukaryota; Metazoa; Chordata; Mammalia; Primates; Hominidae. The record is from RNAcentral.